Molecule: ribosomal RNA, 278 nt
Filed under: uncultured Massarinaceae
Lineage: Eukaryota; Fungi; Ascomycota; Dothideomycetes; Pleosporales; Massarinaceae
Description: partial 18S ribosomal RNA
Rfam family: Eukaryotic small subunit ribosomal RNA (bases 1-194)
Source: RNAcentral
UGCCUGUUUUUUUUAUUCAAAUUUUUUCCCUAUCAACUUUCGAUGGUAAGGUAUUGGCUUGCCAUUGUUUCAAUGGGUAACGGGGAAUUAGGGUUCGAUUCCGGAGAGGGAGCCUGAGAAACGGCUACCACAUCCAAGGAAGGCAGCAGGCGCGCAAAUUACCCAAUCCCGACGCGGGGAGGUAGUGACAAUAAAUAUGAACAGGGUCUUUGGGUCUGUAAUCGAAUAGUCAUUACCCAAGGCACCUUAGUUUAAUUUUGUUUUUACUUGUUUUCUGA